This is a long non-coding RNA of Dalotia coriaria, 1145 nucleotides long. RefSeq lists it as uncharacterized. The record is from RefSeq and is a predicted model, not a curated record. The transcript has 2 exons. Lineage: Eukaryota; Metazoa; Arthropoda; Insecta; Coleoptera; Staphylinidae.
UAUCGCGCAUUAUCGGUGAAGGUUUAAUAGCCUUGAGAGAACAACGCAAGGCAAAAACGACACAAAUUGAUUUUUGAGUUUUAAACUUCCGAAAGCACUAUAAUACCUCAAAAAACGUAGCUUAAUGCAGCUGGUAACUACGUGCGAUAAUUUAACUGUCUACAAAGACUCGAGUCUAGACUGGCGUCAGAAACGAGUCAUAAGUGCGAUUACACUCGAAAGUUCGCAAUUCUAAAGCCGUAAACCAAGCCUUCGACGUUAGGUAUGGAUAGAAAAUCAAUUUCCAGUUAGUCCUGCACGACUAAAACCUAAAACCCUUCGACAGACGUAGGUAACUCUUCAAUUCGCCAUUUCAUCACUGGCAGGUCAUAAAACACACGCAAUUAUACUAGUAGUGUCAUAGUCAUUCAGACACUUCCACAUCACGGAAUGCAUACUGUAAGCUUUUAAUUAAAUUAGAAACCUCUAUAAGGUUGACACGUCGAUAUUAUUCCGCUCGCCAUUUCGCAGUGCGAAGAAUGCGAUGUCAAUGAACCACGACGAUGUAAAGACAAAUGAAUAUUAACUAUUAGGCAUGUAAUAACAGUCGUAUGUAUUGAAAGUUGUAAGUAGUCGUAAUCAUUAAAGAGUAUACACGCGAAAAUUCAAUUACUAGGUAAUUUUACUUGUUAGAAAUUGUGGAAGAAGUUGCGCAGAAGUUUCUGGUUCCGAAAUUUAUGCCGUAAUGUCAUAAAGUCGUGACCGCGACAUCACAAUUGUUAAACUUGUUGUAUUAUAAAGAUAUAGUAAUGAUAUUAGCAUAUGUUUAAUUAAUAAUCAUUAGUAUAAUAGGAAUUGCAAUGCUGUAAUACUUAAAAGUUGAAGUAUUCAAUUUAAAAUGUUGCGUUUAAUUUUAAAUUUAAAAAUGUAUUAUCUGAGCCUUAAAUUAAGAAAUUCUAUUGAAAAUAUUAACAAAAAUGUUAUUUUGAUUAAAUUGCAUAUUUUUGUACUAUUACAUAAUUAAAUAUUAAAUCAUUUAUUGAAAUUUGUUAAGAAAACAUGAAUUGUAAAAUUAUGAUGGUCGAAAUUUGGCCUCAUUUUAUACUUAUGUAAAUAUUUAUGUUUUGUAUUGACAAUAAUUGAAUGCUAAAAUAUUUUACACAACA